CCUAAACUCUCCUCUCUUCAUUCCCGGAUUUCCCCUCUUCCUCGAAUCUCGCGUUGAACUCUCCUGAUCGCCCGUCACAACCGGCUCUUCUCCAUCCACAAGCGAGGUUGUCGAUCUUCCUGUACAUCGUCGCCCCUACAGCUAUGUCAAGCCCGGUCGAUCGAUCGACAUCGCCGCGAGUUUCCCCCAGCAAAGGAUGCCUCCCCUCUUGCCCUUAGAGUUGGCUGCGCCCACUUCUCCUACAGUUUCUGUUCCAGAUGGAGGAAUAGGGUUGGCUGCGGAGGAUCAUAUUUAGCCGGAGUACUAACCUACUACACUCCCUCACACUCAGCCAUCGUCGGACUCCGCAUAGCACUGUUGUCCUUUUUCCUCGCGGCCACGGUUGGCCGGUUGGUUCGCCGAUAGCCCAAAGGCCGGAACCUACAGCUGACUCUCUCCAGUGGUUGCCACUUCCUUCACCCAUGACUGGAUGCUACCAUGAGCCAUUGCCGGAAUAGCCAAGUGCCACCAGAUUUAGGUUAGCAAGUAGAGGGUGUGUCAUGUCGCUCAGAGGUCCUGAAUGUUAAUCCCACAUCACAUUCGAGAUUAUGUUUUCUAUGUUAUGUUUUGCUGUUUUGUAUUUACAUUUGGUUUGGUUCUGGUUCAUGGAUUUUAGUCUUGUGGUUUAUCUGUAUUUGGUUGUGAUAUUCGUUGUGUUAAGCCGUGUAGACACGCAGUCCAUUUAUGUUUUCUAUGUUAUGUGGGAUUGUGUAAAUCCUUCUAUUGCAUAGUUAGUUAUCUUUAUCUUCUGCUGUAUUUCUAGCUUUGUGGGCUAUAUCAUGUUGUAUCGUAUAUUGUCACUAGAGGGUAUCAUCCAUUCUAUUAGACAAAUAUACCUCCGGGUGUGACAAUUUUAUUGGUAUCAGAGUCAUAGGUUGUGAAGCCUAUUUUUAUGUUUUAGAUUUCUUGAUUUGCUUUCUCGAUGUGACUUUUGAGUUUUGAGACUCAGCAGGGAUAGAACAUCUCCGAGCUAUAGGAAGUAAGGUAUAUCUCUAGUAUUGUGAUAUCUUUUGGAUUCACUACUUUGUUUAUUUUAUGGAAGCGACCUGUUAACCCUGCGGGACCCGACCCUAAUAUAGAGAAUGCAGAUUCUUCUAAGUACUAACUGAUACCAAGUCAGAAAGCAAGGACCUACACAGUCAACCAUUAUUGGAGGUCACAUCUUACAGUCUCAUGGAAAUACCACCAACCGUACCAACUCCUAUUACUAGUAGUUGGUUAAAGGAUAGAGCCCGUAUAUUUUUGUUGGCUUAGUUAGUAAAGGAUCGAUUUACUUUGUUUCAUAGAAAUUCCGAUCCUUGGGUUGCUUAAACCUGGUUAGAUAACCUGCCGGGUACAUUUGAGUACAAGACUUGCACGGAUAUAGAGUUUGCUAAAUUAGCUGCAUAUCAUCUACGGGAUCAGACGAGCAUCACUUGUUGAUGAUUUCAAGAUGCGUUAGAGGGAUAAUACUUCUCUACCUCCUGUUCUAUAACUCAUUGUUAGAGGUUCCUGAUAUAGGUCCUGGUGAGGCCGGCUAGAGGGGGGUGAAUAGCUUGAAAUGAAAAUAAUCCCUUUCUCGUUCUUUCAACUUAGAUUAGUAACAUAAUUAUAAUAAAUUAAUUUAAAAAAUAAUAAAAUAAAAGAGAUAGAAGAAUUACUUGGUUACAACCUAGGUGGUUGUUAAUCCAAGGCAGAUGAAAGUAUUAAAAAAUCUCCUUCAUUGAAAGUGGAGAAGCCUCUUACACUCUUUGAACGCUUAAAAAUAAACUAAGAAUUAAUUACAGAAGUUGUUGAUUAAUUCCUACCUCCAGGAGUCUUUUUAUAGCUCUUGGAAAAUCCUAUCUGUGGGUAGAAGGUGCCUUCAAGAGGACUCAAGGCGCCUUCGAGUGAAAAACUUUAUCCGCCGAAGAUAAGGUUUUAUCUUCGGCUAACGGUUAGGGAAGGCGCCUUCAGCACUGUUCAUGGAAGACGCUUUUUAAGCCAUUGAAGGCGCCUUCCCUACAGCAGAUCAACUCCUUAGUUGAUCUUCAUCCUCAAGCAAUCUUCCUCUCCGGUUUCUCAUCCCUUGGAAACGUCGCACACUUCCUUCUCGUCCGCCAGCGUACUCUUCCACAGCACCUCCGAGCCAGUUGACUCUUUCCCGUGCCAUCCUUCUCGCUAGCUGCGUUUUUCGCGCAAAUUCUCGUGCUCCUAAGUUCCUGCACACUUAGACACAAGAAUCAAAUACAACAUGACUUAACUUGACUUGGUUGAUUACACCAAAAUUAUCAUAGGGUACUUAUACUUGAACCUUAAAUAGAGCAACUAUAGUGUAAUGGUUUGUAAAGCGAUAGUUAGUUGACUUGUGUAUGGUUUGCAACAGCUUUGUGGUUGCUGUUGUUGUCAUGUUCCUUUUGCUGCCUGCGUUUGCUUUUCUUGUUUUGAUUGAGAUCGGCGUUUGCAAUAACAGGGGAGGAGAAUGAGAAAUAGGGGAAUAAUAUGGUGAUGAUUAAUGAACUGAGAUGAUGUGUUCGUUUGGUGUUGGAAGAGUUUGUAUGGUAUUGGUUUCUAUACUAGUAGAGGUAGUGGUGACCAGUGGGAGAAAUAUAUGGAUAGACACUUUAUGUAAGAAAGUUGACCCAUGUUUAAUUUUAUCAAUAGUGGUCGAUUUAAUGAUUCAGAGUGGAGAACAGAAAGAAAUAUAAUGAUAUUGAGCUUCGAUAAUUUUUUAAAAUGAUAUAUGUCGACUAUUUUACCUAAUAUGGUACAAGAUCUAAAACCUACUCGGCACUGACACCAUGCAUUGAAACAUCAGUAUAAUACCGAAUCAUUAUGGUUCUAGUCAAAUAUCGAAACUUUGGCACAACUCGAGAUUUUUAACCUUGAAGUGACAAAACAUGAUUCUAUAAUAUAUCAUUAAUCAUGGUAUAUCCAUUUGUGCAAUACCAAUGCUUGAAAUAUUAUGAAAAAGAUUAAAAAGUAAUUCAAUUUUAUAGAUGUAAUCAAGUUCCAAGCAAGAACUUAGAUAUUAAAAUUUUUAAUUUGCUUUUCUCUCAAUAUACUUCAUGAAGAAACUAGUAUUGCAAGAAGAAAUUUUGAUAGGUAUUAGGUUCUAAUUAAACUAACAAACCACGCUUCUAGAUUCUACUAACAAUAGAAUUAAUCCGAGAACAAAUAAGUUCCAACAUCAAUAGUAAUUGUUUGUUUGCACUCUUGAGUGGCUAUGCGGUAAUUAUGCUUUCUCUUCAACACUUCCAAGUCAUGUUUUAAUUAAAGUAAAGCAAUCAAUUUUUUGUAUCUGUUCCAUAAUUAAAGCAAUUUAAAAACUCUAGAUGGCAAACCAACUUAGAGCGCAAUUUAGGAACUUACGUUCUGUUUAAUGUUUCCAAUUUUUAUUUGUUAAUUAUUAAUUGUUUAUUGCUGAUCUUGUGUUAUUUUGAAGAUAUGACACUAACAAACAAAUCAAAGGUAAUUGAUGUCAUAUGGGAACAUUGCAAGAAAGUUCUAAUGUAAUGAGCUUGGAGUCCAAGUCUAUGGAAUUUAAUAUUGGUCUGUGUUAUCAAAAUGAAAAAUUAUCAUGUCGGAACAAGAAAUAAAGUUGCAGCUUGUCAAAUUUCAGAUAUCAGAAGUUAGUUUUUGAAGAUUCUCCAUGAUGUAUAUAUAUAUUAUGAUGUUGUGAGGGAAUGAUUGAACGAACAAGAAAAGUCUUUAUCUCAAAUAUAUGCAGGGGUAUCUAUGGUUAUGCUUUACCAUUCAAUUUGAUAAAGAACAUGUUGUUUAUGGAAAUGUAGAAAUUAGUGGGAGAAUACAGUCAUGGUUUGGAGCUUCCUUUGUACGAAGCACAAGUUACUUUUUAGAGAAAUAGAAAGAUCUUGUUCUUUAAAAGAAGAAUACAGAAAGGCAUGAUAUGCUAUAAGUAUGACAGAUGAAUCCGUAAUAGAGGUUGUUCUUUUGCAUUUCUUUUUAUUGCAAAUAGUUCAAGUGUAAUUUUUUUUUCUUUUUUUGUGAUCUAUAGAUGCAUCAGAUGCAAUCAAAGAUGUAAAGUAGAUUUUUCAAUUACUUCAUGAAUUGAUUGAAAGAUUGGUGAAAAAAUCAUUGUUCA
Long non-coding RNA from Zingiber officinale, 4102 nucleotides. RefSeq lists it as uncharacterized. The transcript is spliced from 2 exons. The record is from RefSeq and is a predicted model, not a curated record. NCBI's taxonomy places the organism in Eukaryota, Viridiplantae, Streptophyta, Magnoliopsida, Zingiberales, Zingiberaceae.